CCGCGGCCCUCGGCGGGCACCUGGAGGUGGUGCAGCUGCUGCUGAAGAAGAAGGCGGACCCCCUCAGCCUCAACAAGCAGGGGAAGAGCCCGCUGCAGCUGGCGAAGGGCGCGGAGGU
Molecule: non-coding RNA, 118 nt
Filed under: Pyramimonas obovata
Lineage: Eukaryota; Viridiplantae; Chlorophyta; Pyramimonadophyceae; Pyramimonadales; Pyramimonadaceae
Source: RNAcentral